GACGAACGCUGGCGGCGUGCCUAACACAUGCAAGUCGAACGGAGUUGGAAGGAGCUUGCUUUUUUCAACUCAGUGGCGGACGGGUGAGUAACGCGUGAGUAACCUGCCUUUCAGAGGGGGAUAACGUUCUGAAAAGAACGCUAAUACCGCAUAAGAUUGUAGCUUCGCAUGGAGCAGCAAUCAAAGGAGCAAUCCGCUGAAAGAUGGACUCGCGUCCGAUUAGAUAGUUGGCGGGGUAACGGCCCACCAAGUCGACGAUCGGUAGCCGGACUGAGAGGUUGAUCGGCCACAUUGGGACUGAGACACGGCCCAGACUCCUACGGGAGGCAGCAGUGAGGGAUAUUGGGCAAUGGGGGAAACCCUGACCCAGCAACGCCGCGUGAGGGAUGACGGUUUUCGGAUUGUAAACCUCUGUCCUCUGUGAAGAUAGUGACGGUAGCAGAGGAGGAAGCUCCGGCUAACUACGUGCCAGCAGCCGCGGUAAUACGUAGGGAGCAAGCGUUGUCCGGAUUUACUGGGUGUAAAGGGUGCGUAGGCGGAUUGGCAAGUCAGAAGUGAAAUCCAUGGGCUUAACCCAUGAACUGCUUUUGAAACUGUUAGUCUUGAGUGAAGUAGAGGUAGGCGGAAUUCCCGGUGUAGCGGUGAAAUGCGUAGAGAUCGGGAGGAACACCAGUGGCGAAGGCGGCCUACUGGGCUUUAACUGACGCUGAGGCACGAAAGUGUGGGU
RNAcentral lists this ribosomal RNA (727 nucleotides) under uncultured Lachnospiraceae bacterium. RNAcentral describes it as "bacterial SSU rRNA". It matches the Rfam family "Bacterial small subunit ribosomal RNA", at positions 28 to 766 of the family's 1533-position model. Lineage: Bacteria; Bacillati; Bacillota; Clostridia; Lachnospirales; Lachnospiraceae. The record is from RNAcentral.